UACGUAGGUGGCAAGCGUUGUCCGGAUUUACUGGGCGUAAAGAGCGCGCAGGCGGUCGUUCAAGUCGCGUGUGAAAGCCCCCGGCUCAACUGGGGAGGGUCACGCGAUACUGAUCGACUGGAAGGCAGGAGAGGGUAGUGGAAUUCCCGGUGUAGUGGUGAAAUGCGUAGAUAUCAGGAGGAACACCAGUGGCGAAGGCGACUACCUGGCCUGUUCUUGACGCUGAGGCGCGAAAGCUAGGGGAGCAAACGGG
RNAcentral lists this ribosomal RNA (253 nucleotides) under uncultured bacterium. RNAcentral's name for it is "partial 16S ribosomal RNA". It matches the Rfam family "Bacterial small subunit ribosomal RNA", at positions 524 to 776 of the family's 1533-position model. The record is from RNAcentral.